GUUGUAUAGUCAAGUAAUUAAGUGCAUGUGGUGGAUGCCUUGGCAGUCAGAGGCGAUGAAAGACGUGAUAGCCUGCGAAAAGCUCCGGGGAGGCGGCAAAUAUCCUUUGAUCCGGAGAUGUCUGAAUGGGGGAACCCACCUACUUUAAGGUAGGUAUUGCAACAUGAAUACAUAGUGUUGCAAGGCGAACGAGGGGAAGUGAAACAUCUCAGUACCCUUAGGAAAAGAAAUCAAUUGAGAUUCCCUCAGUAGCGGCGAGCGAACGGGGAUCAGCCCAUUAAGUUAUGUGUGUUUUAGUGGAACGCUCUGGGAAGUGCGAACGUAGAGGGUGAUAUUCCCGUACACGAAAGGGCACACAUAAUGAUGACGAGUAGGGCGAGGCACGUGAAACCUUGUCUGAAUAUGGGGGGACCAUCCUCCAAGGCUAAAUACUCCUGACUGACCGAUAGUGAACCAGUACCGUGAGGGAAAGGCGAAAAGAACCCCUGUGAGGGGAGUGAAAUAGAUCCUGAAACCGCAUGCAUACAAGCAGUGGGAGCACCUUCGUGGUGUGACUGCGUACCUUUUGUAUAAUGGGUCAGCGACUUAUAUUCAGUAGCANAGGUUAACCGUAUAGGGGAGCCGUAGAGAAAUCGAGUCUUAAUAGGGCGUUUAGUUGCUGGGUAUAGACCCGAAACCAGGCGAUCUAUCCAUGAGCAGGUUGAAGGUUGGGUAACACUAACUGGAGGACCGAACCCACUGUCGUUGAAAAGCCAGGGGAUGACUUGUGGAUAGGGGUGAAAGGCUAAUCAAGCCUGGUGAUAGCUGGUUCUCCCCGAAAGCUAUUUAGGUAGCGCCUCGGACGAAUACCAUAGGGGGUAGAGCACUGUUUCGGCUAGGGGGUCAUCCCGACUUACCAAACCGAUGCAAACUCCGAAUACCUAUGAGUACUAUCCGGGAGACAGACUGCGGGUGCUAACGUCCGUAGUCAAGAGGAAAACAAUCCAGACCGCCAGCUAAGGCCCCAAAAUCAUAGUUAAGUGGGAAACGAUGUGGGAAGGCAUAGACAGCUAGGAGGUUGGCUUANNNNNNNNNNNNNNNNNNNNGAAGCAGCCACCCUUUAAAGAAAGCGUAAUAGCUCACUAGUCGAGUCGGCCUGCGCGGAAGAUGUAACGGGGCUAAAACUAUGUGCCGAAGCUGCGGAUGUAUACUUUGUAUACGUGGUAGGGGAGCGUUCUGUAAGCCGAUGAAGGUGUGUUGAGAAGCNNNNNNNNNNNNNNNNNNAUGCUGGAGGUAUCAGAAGUGCGAAUGCUGACGUGAGUAACGACAAAACGGGUGAAAAACCCGUUCGCCGAAAGACCAAGGGUUCCAGUCCAACGUUAAUCGGGGCUGGGUGAGUCGACCCCUAAGGCGAGGCCGAAAGGCGUAGUCGAUGGGAAAAUGGUUAAUAUUCCAUUACUUCUGUGUAAUGCGAUGAGAGGACGGAGAAGGCUAAAUCAGCCUGGCGUUGGUUGUCCAGGUGAAAGGAUGUAGGCAUGUAUCUUAGGCAAAUCCGGGGUACUCUAUGCUGAGAUCUGAUAGCAAGCUGUACUUGUACAGCGAAGUGGUUGAUGCCAUGCUUCCAGGAAAAGUCUCUAAGCUUCAGUUACACAGGAAUCGUACCCGAAACCGACACAGGUGGUCAGGUCGAGUAGACCAAGGCGCUUGAGAGAACUCUGCUGAAGGAACUAGGCAAAAUGGUACCGUAACUUCGGGAGAAGGUACGCUGUUGUUGGUGAUGGAACUCGCUUCCUGAGCUGACGACAGCCGCAGAAACCAGGCCGCUGCAACUGUUUAUUAAAAACAUAGCACUCUGCAAACACGAAAGUGGACGUAUAGGGUGUGAUGCCUGCCCGGUGCUGGAAGGUUAAUUGAUGGGGUUAGCGUAAGCGAAGCUCUUGAUCGAAGCCCCAGUAAACGGCGGCCGUAACUAUAACGGUCCUAAGGUAGCGAAAUUCCUUGUCGGGUAAGUUCCGACCUGCACGAAUGGCAUAAUGAUGGCGGCGCUGUCUCCAGCAGAGGCUCAGUGAAAUCGAAAUCGCUGUGAAGAUGCAGUGUACCCGCGGCUAGACGGAAAGACCCCGUGAACCUUUACUGCAGCUUGACACUGAACUUUGACCUUACUUGUGUAGGAUAGGUGGGAGGCUUUGAAGCUGGAACGCUAGUUCCAGUGGAGCCGUCCUUGAAAUACCACCCUGGUAAUGUUGAGGUUCUAACUCUGUCCCGUGAUCCGGGACGAGGACCGUGUCUGGUGGGUAGUUUGACUGGGGCGGUCUCCUCCUAAAGAGUAACGGAGGAGUACGAAGGUGCGCUCAGCGUGGUCGGAAAUCACGCGUAGAGUAUAAAGGCAAAAGCGCGCUUAACUGCGAGACCCACAAGUCGAGCAGGUACGAAAGUAGGUCUUAGUGAUCCGGUGGUUCUGUAUGGAAGGGCCAUCGCUCAACGGAUAAAAGGUACUCUGGGGAUAACAGGCUGAUACCGCCCAAGAGUUCAUAUCGACGGCGGUGUUUGGCACCUCGAUGUCGGCUCAUCUCAUCCUGGGGCUGAAGCAGGUCCCAAGGGUAUGGCUGUUCGCCAUUUAAAGAGGUACGCGAGCUGGGUUUAGAACGUCGUGAGACAGUUCGGUCCCUAUCUACCGUGGGCGCUGGAAAUUUGAGAGGAUCUGCUCCUAGUACGAGAGGACCAGAGUGGACGAACCUCUGGUGUACCGGUUGUGACGCCAGUCGCAUCGCCGGGUAGCUAUGUUCGGAAGGGAUAACCGCUGAAAGCAUCUAAGCGGGAAGCCUACCUCAAGAUAAGAUUUCCCUAGGACUUUAUGUCCUCUAAAGAGCCGUUCGAGACUAGGACGUUGAUAGGUUGGAUGUGGAAGCAUAGUGAUAUGUGAAGCUGACCAAUACUAAUUGCUCGUGAGGCUUGACUAUACAACACCCAAGCAGUUG
RNAcentral lists this ribosomal RNA (2957 nucleotides) under Acinetobacter baumannii. RNAcentral's name for it is "bacterial LSU rRNA". It matches the Rfam family "Bacterial large subunit ribosomal RNA". The record is from RNAcentral. Lineage: Bacteria; Pseudomonadati; Pseudomonadota; Gammaproteobacteria; Moraxellales; Moraxellaceae.